Molecule: unclassified non-coding RNA, 377 nt
Filed under: uncultured Chlamydiales bacterium
Lineage: Bacteria; Pseudomonadati; Chlamydiota; Chlamydiia; Chlamydiales
Description: contains 16S-23S intergenic spacer region
Source: RNAcentral
UCCUGGUUAACCCAGGCAGUCUCGUUAGAGUUCCCACCUAAUAUGUUGGCAACUAACGAUAAGGGUUGCGCUCGUUGCGGGACUUAACCCAACACCUCACGGCACGAGCUGACGACAGCCAUGCAGCACCUGUGCAUAGGCCCCGAAGGGCAACGCCAUCUCUGGCGUCUUCCUAUGCAUGUCAAGCCUGGGUAAGGUUCUUCGCGUUGCAUCGAAUUAAACCACAUGCUCCACUGCUUGUGCGGGUCCCCGUCAAUUCUUUUGAGUUUCACCCUUGCGGGCGUACUCCCCAGGCGGCAUACUUAACGCGUUCGCUACGGCACAACCGGGGUUGAGUCCGGUUACACCAAGUAUGCAUCGUUUACGGCUAGGACUAC